CGGAUGGCGGGGAGCAGCGGGACGGGGAAGGUGAUUAGCCCAGGCGGGAGAGCCCCGCGGUGGCUGCAGGAUCCGCGCCCUCCAGGCGCAGCCUGAGCUCUGCUUUGUGUCUGGGACGUCCCUGGGGCGCCCAGGCCGGAUCUGUUUCUGUUCUACUUAAGCCACGUGCUCCACACCACUCCGUUGUCACCGCCUGGCUCUCCGCGGGCCUUUCCUCUCCAGAGACGUGUGUAUUUUAAAAGUUCUACCCGGGGCCCACGUCCCUUCUCUCAGGGAGAAGCACCCAACCCUGAGGCCCUCCCCAGGGGUGCAGAACUUCAGCUAGGUGGGGGAGGUGCUUCCUAAGGCCAAGUACACCCUCCCUCUGGGGGAAGAAGAAACACUGGGGGAAGGGCCUCUGGGUCAAGUUUGGACCCAAAAAUGAAAUCCCGGUCUGGCAAGAAGAAGAGCAGGUGGGAGAGAGAACCCAGCAAAGAGGGCUGCAGGUGGUUGAGAGAAAAGGAAUUUCUGUUAAACCCUGAUACCAACCAUAAUUGAGCAAUGUUUUGUUCUAAUAUUAUGGUGGGUAGAAAGUUAUUAGGUGGCAUAUAAAUCAUCACAUACUAAAGAUGACAAAAAUAUCGCUUGUUUUAAAAAAA
Molecule: long non-coding RNA, 638 nt
Filed under: Marmota monax (woodchuck)
Lineage: Eukaryota; Metazoa; Chordata; Mammalia; Rodentia; Sciuridae
Source: RNAcentral